Aquila chrysaetos chrysaetos is the source of this 188-nucleotide small nuclear RNA. Its record names the gene U2. It matches the Rfam family "U2 spliceosomal RNA". From Rfam's summary of the family: U2 is a small nuclear RNA (snRNA) component of the spliceosome (involved in pre-mRNA splicing). Complementary binding between U2 snRNA (in an area lying towards the 5' end but 3' to hairpin I) and the branchpoint sequence (BPS) of the intron results the bulging out of an unpaired adenosine, on the BPS, which initiates a nucleophilic attack at the intronic 5' splice site, thus starting the first of two transesterification reactions that mediate splicing. The record is from Ensembl. Lineage: Eukaryota; Metazoa; Chordata; Aves; Accipitriformes; Accipitridae.
AGAGCUUUUCAGCCCUUUGGGGAAGCUCAGAUGUAGUGUGUGUUCUUACCAGUUUCUUAUCUGAUGGGUGGCUGCAAGGAUCUGCUGUUAAAUAGCAUUGUGGAGACAGGAGGUGCCUUGGGAGCUUGCUGCAGCCGCUUCACACGUGGCCUUGGUAUCACAAUACCUCCCCGUGUGCCGUUAGCCCU